GACGAACCGUCCAAACGUUAUUCGGAAUUACUGGGCUUAAAGGGUGCGUAGGCGGCGCUACAAGUCGGGUGUGAAAUCCCUCAGCUUAACUGAGGAACUGCGCCCGAAACUGUAGUGCUGGAGUGAGGCAGGGGUGAGCGGAACUGAUGGUGGAGCGGUGAAAUGUGUUGAUAUUGGAAGGAACACCGGAGGCGAAAGCGGUGCACUGGGGCUGGUCUGACGCUGAGGCACGAAAGCCAGGGGAGCGAACGGG
RNAcentral lists this ribosomal RNA (253 nucleotides) under uncultured bacterium. RNAcentral describes it as "partial 16S ribosomal RNA". It matches the Rfam family "Bacterial small subunit ribosomal RNA", at positions 524 to 776 of the family's 1533-position model. The record is from RNAcentral.